Molecule: ribosomal RNA, 1506 nt
Filed under: metagenome
Description: bacterial SSU rRNA
Rfam family: Bacterial small subunit ribosomal RNA
Source: RNAcentral
AGAGUUUGAUCCUGGCUCAGGACGAACGCUGGCGGCGUGCCUAAUACAUGCAAGUAGAACGCUGAAGAGAGGAGCUUGCUCUUCUUGGAUGGGUUGCGAACGGGUGAGUAACGCGUAGGUAACCUGCCUUGUAGCGGGGGAUAACUAUUGGAAACGAUAGCUAAUACCGCAUAACAAUGGAUGACCCAUGUCAUUUAUUUGAAAGGGGCAAAUGCUCCACUACAAGAUGGACCUGCGUUGUAUUAGCUAGUAGGUGAGGUAACGGCUCACCUAGGCGACGAUACAUAGCCGACCUGAGAGGGUGAUCGGCCACACUGGGACUGAGACACGGCCCAGACUCCUACGGGAGGCAGCAGUAGGGAAUCUUCGGCAAUGGGGGCAACCCUGACCGAGCAACGCCGCGUGAGUGAAGAAGGUUUUCGGAUCGUAAAGCUCUGUUGUAAGUCAAGAACGAGUGUGAGAGUGGAAAGUUCACACUGUGACGGUAGCUUACCAGAAAGGGACGGCUAACUACGUGCCAGCAGCCGCGGUAAUACGUAGGUCCCGAGCGUUGUCCGGAUUUAUUAGGCGUAAAGCGAGCGCAGGCGGUUUGAUAAGUCUGAAGUUAAAGGCUGUGGCUCAACCAUAGUUCGCUUUGGAAACUGUCAAACUUGAGUGCAGAAGGGGAGAGUGGAAUUCCAUGUGUAGCGGUGAAAUGCGUAGAUAUAUGGAGGAACACCGGUGGCGAAAGCGGCUCUCUGGUCUGUAACUGACGCUGAGGCUCGAAAGCGUGGGGAGCGAACAGGAUUAGAUACCCUGGUAGUCCACGCCGUAAACGAUGAGUGCUAGGUGUUGGAUCCUUUCCGGGAUUCAGUGCCGCAGCUAACGCAUUAAGCACUCCGCCUGGGGAGUACGACCGCAAGGUUGAAACUCAAAGGAAUUGACGGGGGCCCGCACAAGCGGUGGAGCAUGUGGUUUAAUUCGAAGCAACGCGAAGAACCUUACCAGGUCUUGACAUCCCGAUGCUAUUUCUAGAGAUAGAAAGUUACUUCGGUACAUCGGUGACAGGUGGUGCAUGGUUGUCGUCAGCUCGUGUCGUGAGAUGUUGGGUUAAGUCCCGCAACGAGCGCAACCCCUAUUGUUAGUUGCCAUCAUUCAGUUGGGCACUCUAGCGAGACUGCCGGUAAUAAACCGGAGGAAGGUGGGGAUGACGUCAAAUCAUCAUGCCCCUUAUGACCUGGGCUACACACGUGCUACAAUGGUUGGUACAACGAGUUGCGAGUCGGUGACGGCAAGCUAAUCUCUUAAAGCCAAUCUCAGUUCGGAUUGUAGGCUGCAACUCGCCUACAUGAAGUCGGAAUCGCUAGUAAUCGCGGAUCAGCACGCCGCGGUGAAUACGUUCCCGGGCCUUGUACACACCGCCCGUCACACCACGAGAGUUUGUAACACCCGAAGUCGGUGAGGUAACCUUUUGGAGCCAGCCGCCUAAGGUGGGAUAGAUGAUUGGGGUGAAGUCGUAACAAGGUA